CCCUACGGGGGGCAGCAGUGAGGAAUAUUGGUCAAUGGGCGGGAGCCUGAACCAGCCAAGUCGCGUGAGGGACGACGGUCCUAUGGAUUGUAAACCUCUUUUGUCGGGGAACAAAGGCGCCCACGGGUGGGCGGAUGAGUGUACCCGAAGAAAAAGCAUCGGCUAACUCCGUGCCAGCAGCCGCGGUAAUACGGAGGAUGCGAGCGUUAUCCGGAUUUAUUGGGUUUAAAGGGUGCGCAGGCGGGCUGUUAAGCCGGCGGUAAAAAUUCAGGGCUCAACCCUGUCGAGCCGUCGGAACUGGCAGG
This 305-nucleotide ribosomal RNA is filed under the name uncultured bacterium. RNAcentral's name for it is "bacterial SSU rRNA". It matches the Rfam family "Bacterial small subunit ribosomal RNA", at positions 337 to 640 of the family's 1533-position model. The record is from RNAcentral.